Molecule: non-coding RNA, 27 nt
Filed under: Homo sapiens (human)
Lineage: Eukaryota; Metazoa; Chordata; Mammalia; Primates; Hominidae
Source: RNAcentral
UGGUGUCAGUGUGAAGAACUGUGAGGU